RNAcentral lists this ribosomal RNA (434 nucleotides) under uncultured bacterium. RNAcentral describes it as "partial 16S ribosomal RNA". It matches the Rfam family "Bacterial small subunit ribosomal RNA", at positions 39 to 507 of the family's 1533-position model. The record is from RNAcentral.
AGAGAAGGAGUGAGACAGGCCUAACACAUGCAAGUCGAACGAACCUUUCGGGGUUAGUGGCGGACGGGUGAGUAACACGUGGGAACGUGCCUUUAGGUUCGGAAUAACUCAGGGAAACUUGUGCUAAUACCGAAUGUGCCCUUCGGGGGAAAGAUUUAUCGCCUUUAGAGCGGCCCGCGUCUGAUUAGCUAGUUGGUUGAGGUAAUGGCUCACCAAGGCGACGAUCAGUAGCUGGUCUGAGAGGAUGAUCAGCCACAUUGGGACUGAGACACGGCCCAAACUCCUACGGGAGGCAGCAGUGGGGAAUCUUGCGCAAUGGGCGAAAGCCUGACGCAGCCAUGCCGCGUGAAUGAUGAAGGUCUUAGGAUUGUAAAAUUCUUUCACCGGGGACGAUAAUGACGGUACCCGGAGAAGAAGCCCCGGCUAACUUCGUG